CCUUCGGGGGAACGAUAACGGCGUCGAGCGGCGGACGGGUGAGUAAUGCCUAGGAAAUUGCCCUGAUGUGGGGGAUAACCAUUGGAAACGAUGGCUAAUACCGCAUGAUGCCUACGGGCCAAAGAGGGGGACCUUCGGGCCUCUCGCGUCAGGAUAUGCCUAGGUGGGAUUAGCUAGUUGGUGAGGUAAGGGCUCACCAAGGCGACGAUCCCUAGCUGGUCUGAGAGGAUGAUCAGCCACACUGGAACUGAGACACGGUCCAGACUCCUACGGGAGGCAGCAGUGGGGAAUAUUGCACAAUGGGCGCAAGCCUGAUGCAGCCAUGCCGCGUGUGUGAAGAAGGCCUUCGGGUUGUAAAGCACUUUCAGUCGUGAGGAAGGUGGUGUAGUUAAUAGCUGCAUUAUUUGACGUUAGCGACAGAAGAAGCACCGGCUAACUCCGUGCCAGCAGCCGCGGUAAUACGGAGGGUGCGAGCGUUAAUCGGAAUUACUGGGCGUAAAGCGCAUGCAGGUGGUUUGUUAAGUCAGAUGUGAAAGCCCGGGGCUCAACCUCGGAAUA
This 558-nucleotide ribosomal RNA is filed under the name Vibrio harveyi. RNAcentral's name for it is "bacterial SSU rRNA". It matches the Rfam family "Bacterial small subunit ribosomal RNA", at positions 77 to 622 of the family's 1533-position model. The record is from RNAcentral. Lineage: Bacteria; Pseudomonadati; Pseudomonadota; Gammaproteobacteria; Vibrionales; Vibrionaceae.